Long non-coding RNA from Papaver somniferum (opium poppy), 2683 nucleotides. RefSeq lists it as uncharacterized. Lineage: Eukaryota; Viridiplantae; Streptophyta; Magnoliopsida; Ranunculales; Papaveraceae. The record is from RefSeq and is a predicted model, not a curated record. The transcript has 9 exons.
UUCUUCUCCAUUUUUCUCCUCCUCUAAACCGGAGCUGCUUCUGUUCUAAACCUAAAUCCACAUCUUCAAAAUCAAGACCAAGCUUUCAAAAAUCAAAAUAUAUCUCUCCUGAACUCUAAUCUCAUGAAUCAAAAUCCUUUUCUCUCCCAAAACGUUAGCUUUUCUCUUUUUUUUCUUCUUUCUCUUCUAAACCUAAAUCGAGAUAUUCGAAUUGAAAUCAAGUUAUUUGAAAUCAAAAUUUGUCUCUUUUAAACCUGAAUUUUAUUAAUCAAAACUCAUAGAAAUCAUUCAGAUCUGAGAUUUGGGUUUUUUCUCAUGAUCUUGGAUCUAAUAAAGGUAAAAUGGCGGCUCACCAUUAUCAUAGAGUUGGAGUUAAUGGUCUUGAGUUACACAGGAAGGAAAAAUUUUCCAGUUAUAAAGUUUAUGUUGUUGAAGGAAAGAUGAAAGUCUUUUAGGAAGAGUUUCAGAUGGCUUAAAGAUAGGUAGUAUAAUCUAUCUAUGUUCAUUCUCUGAUUUAUUCAUUUUCUAGGUGUGUGUGAUAUUCAAUUUUGUUAUUUAGGUGAUUGUUGAAAGGAGAAAUUGUUGGAAAAAAAGCGGAGUUGAAACUGUUAAGCUUCUUAAACAUAAACCGACUGAUAAGUUUGUUUGGUUUGUUCCUUGAUAAUCAUACAUGUUUUUUUGUUUUUUCCUUUAAUUUUAAAGUUGUUUUUGGAUGUUUUGUUUUUGAGGUUUGAAAUUGUGACAUCUGAUUUAGUGGUUUUGUGAUUUUGAAUUUGUUGCUCUACCAAUCUAGUCGACUAGUUCUAAUAGUGUUCCAUAGCCAGUCAUUUUCAGUGAUUGUGGGAUUUUAAGUGGUGGUGGAUGCUGGUUGUGGACGGUGAAGGUGGCUGGUAGUGGGGGUAGAUGUUAGUGGUGGGUGAUGAUGCUAGGGGUGGUGGAUGCUGGUGGUCAGUGGUUGAUGUUCUACUAUAUUCUAUUCAACUGGUAGAUUACCGAGUGUUGCUGCAUAGUAUUCUUUCGAUCCAGAAAGGAAAUCAUCGCAUUUGAGUACACCCUGUGUUCCAUGGUUUCUUUGAUAAGCUCAUCGGGUUAUUUUUCUUAUUUCUUUCAUGGCAGGGCCGGUAAUCCAAUUUCAGUAAUUCAUUGUGUAUAGUUGAUGCCCAUAAAGUGGACUGUCCACAAGGGUCUGGUAACUCCCCUACUCAAAAGAGCUCUAUUUGUUAUGCCAUUUAUGAUGCAGAGGGAAAUUUCACAUGUAAUUCUAUACCUUGUGGUAAUACUGGCAAAUAUUUUUUGUGAACAUUAUGUCUUUCAUUUCCAUUUUUAGUAAGAAAUAUGACUUCUACAGAGCCGUACGAGGAUUCAUAUCCAAGCUAAAAAGUGUCGAAAGAUUAUUUUUCUCUUGUUUAUUGUGAAACCACCAUUCCGAAUUUUAGUUUCUCUGGAAUAUCAAAUGAGUUUUUUUUUGGCAUUGUGGCAAAUAAUAUGCUAGGAAAAAUUAUUCUAGAAAGCAAUUCUCAUUUACUCUUUCAGUCUUGUAGGGGUUUUUGAGAUUUUACCAUAUUACAAGGGCUAGUAUACUGUUUUGACGUGUCUCCACCAUUCGGUUGGUAUUGGUCUCUGUUGAGCAUCGUCAUGUUACAGUAACACAAAAUUACAGGUCACUGGGUUUUCUGUUGGUAGUUGUGUGAUUGAUGCCUGUGGGGUAGGAGUAGAUGGUAUUGCGACUAUAGUGGAUGGCCAAGAAAGAACAACAUUUUGAUUGUUAUAAAGAUUUCAUUGAGAAAACUCUGGGCGCGCAAGAUACCUUCACCAUCCAUCGCUACUUGCCUGACGGAAGUUAUGAAGAUCGAGGAGUUGAUGAGGUGAUCGUUGAAUAUUCUUGGAAGAGACAAGUUGGUGGCGAUUGGUUAGUGGAUCAAUCUGGGGCUCCAGCUAUCACACUAUCAGCAAUAUUUUUUGUUAAUCUCAUUCUCAUUUGAAGUCUAGAUGGAUAUUCAUCAUGUCAAUACUGGCUCUCUCAUCUGUUCAGAUUCUAUCAGCAAGGCCACUUGGUGGUGGUAAAAAUGGUGCGACUAUGGAGGACAUUUUGAUUCAGAAUUUCCCAUACAGGACUCCAAACAACUGAACCGGAAAAAAAGGUAUGAAGCUGGUAAUGGUGUGGAUGGAUCGGUUCAUUACAUCCUGUCGUUGUGACAAGUACGGAAAAAGGAUCGAGGUACCUUGUACCAUUUAUGUUAGUUGUUCAAGUUAGAGUAUAUCAGAGGCUAGUUUAAACUUGAGUAGGUCAUGUAGUGUGCCAACAUCAUACACACUCCCACUAUUUUCUUGUUGAUCUAAUCAUUAUGUAUUAGUCAUAAUUGGUAUGUUAACUCAGUCAUAAUUCAGCUCUGCUAUUCUGAGAUUAAUCAUCUUCAAGUCCUACGAUGUAUUAGUCGUCUCCUUCAAUUGUACAAGUUCAAUAAAGCAUUUACUAGGUCUAUUUCUGAUCUCUUGUAGAGAGUAUAAGUUAUGUGUAUGUAAUCCAUGUUGGAAGAGAGAAUAUUGUGAGAAUAUUCCAUUUUUCAUAUGAAAAUUUGGGUCUUUUAGUUGAUCUACGAUGGUAUAUGAAGGUGCAGAAAUGUGCCGGAAGUAUUGUCGGAAUUUUUUUACCUUGAAUUACCGUUAGAAAUUAUUUAUUUUU